Molecule: long non-coding RNA, 1442 nt
Filed under: Homo sapiens (human)
Lineage: Eukaryota; Metazoa; Chordata; Mammalia; Primates; Hominidae
Description: HSALNT0250413
Source: RNAcentral
AGACAAGGUCUUGAUAUGUUGCCAAGCUGGUCUCGAAUGCCUGCUUCAAGUGAUCCUCCCUCCUUAGCCUCCUAAAGUGCUGUGCCCAGCCAUGAAAUAGCAACUUUUAAAGGAGAACACAGAAUUUGCUACACACUGAAUACAAAAAUGAAACCAUCUAAGUCGGGAUCCAGAGAGCUCCUUCUAUUCCCUCUAGGUGCCCCAGGCCAUCCCAACCUACCCUAGUAAAAACAUUUCCCCAGUCCUGCAGUUUUAGGAAUGAAUGCAUAAAAAUAACAAAAGGUGGCAGUGGGUGAGGCUAUAUGAUAGCUAAGAAGCCUGUGCGAUGAGUCAAGGCUAUUGUCAUCUUGAAGCUAGGUGCGCUUGCCGUAUUUUCUAUCUCCUUUGGUUUUCAUGGCCCCUACCAUUGUCAGGUUCCUCUAGUUAGAAUUUGUGUGAGCAGUCGAAUUUGACAGGUGAUGAUCAUCUGGGUUACAGAAAGGAAGCACGUCAAAGGGUUUGCUAUAAUGACAAGAAAUUACAGAGCCGCAAUAUUCAGUGUGAUGCAGCACAAAAUCCUCUCCCUGAGAGCUGAAACUGUGUAUCAAGCCAAAGCAGUGUUGGUCUGUAUGGAGCGGUCACCGGCUACCUUUAGUGAUAACGUUGCUAGGAUAUGAAACUCCAAAUGCACUGUUAGUGUGAAAAUGGGAUUUUUAUAUUUGAAAAAAAAAAAGAGGUUGGGGGAGAAAGGAAGAAUAAGGAAAAAAGAAAGAAAAGAAAAGUCAGGAAAACAGUCAGUCCCUGGUGCUUUUCCUGGGCAUUAGAGGCACAGGGAUGACAUCACCAGCAGCCUAUCAGGGCUCUCCAGCUUUGUUCAGGUUCUGAAGCCAUGUCAUCAUCGCCGCUGUAGCCCAGAAAUGAAAAUAGAACCAUCUCUAAAUAUACAACAAUGAGAGUCAAGCACUGCUUUAAAAGGAUGAGAGAACCAAGAAAAACUCCUUAAAUCCUUAAAUCAUAGAGUCUUCCUUUCAUAAAGAAACUAGAAUUUGCCUUCUGGAGCCACUAACCCCAGUAUUUAUUUUAGUCUGCUUGAGACUUUACAAACUGGCAGUUAAAGCUAAUUAAAACAUGACUGACACCACCAUCAUUCCAGUUUGCUCCUGGAUGUGGGACAGAGGCAGGUAGACUCUUCCCUAACAGGCAGCAGCAGGAUUAUGGCCACAGUGUCAAAGGGACAGUUUAUUUGGUUUGGAUAUGGGGACAUAGGACUCCCCAGAAAGGUGGGCAAGUGGCUGUUAUUGUUAGUAGGUUUCACUUAGCUAAAAGCACAGUUUACAGUUGCUGAAGUUUGAUUGAUCUGUUGAUAAACACUAAUGUUUUCCAGUUGACAAUUUCUCCAUGUUAAUUUCUUUAACGCUGGCAGACCUGCCUGGAAGGGACCUAUAAAUAGUAUCAGUGUCAUC